Molecule: transfer RNA, 67 nt
Filed under: Nipponacmea sp. JM-2022
Lineage: Eukaryota; Metazoa; Mollusca; Gastropoda; Lottiidae
Description: tRNA-Ser
Source: RNAcentral
UGGUAAAUGCUGCGGGCCAAAAGUGUCUUGAAAACACUUAGUGGGGGUUCGCGACCCCCUUUACUAA